This 863-nucleotide ribosomal RNA is filed under the name uncultured bacterium. RNAcentral's name for it is "bacterial SSU rRNA". It matches the Rfam family "Bacterial small subunit ribosomal RNA", at positions 8 to 883 of the family's 1533-position model. The record is from RNAcentral.
AGAGUUUGAUCAUGGCUCAGGAUGAACGCGGGCGGCGCGCCUAACACAUGCAAGUCGAACGGUUAAAGCACCUUUCGGGUGUGUAUAAAGUGGCGAACGGCUGAGUAACACGUGGGCAACCUGCCCCUCGCACCGGGACAGCCUCGGGAAACCGUGGUUAAUACCGGAUACGCCCCCUUGAGGACAUCCUCUCGGGGGGAAAGCCCCGACGGCGAGGGAUGGGCCCGCGGCCUGUUAGCUUGUUGGUGGGGUAACGGCCCACCAAGGCGAUUAUGGGUAGCUGGGUUGAGAGACCGACCAGCCAGAUUGGGACUGAGACACGGCCCAGACUCCUACGGGAGGCAGCAGUGGGGAAUCUUGCACAAUGGGCGAAAGCCUGAUGCAGCGACGCCGCGUGCGGGAUGAAGGCCUUCGGGUUGUAAACCGCUUUCAGCAGGGACGAGGCCGCAAGGUGACGGUACCUGCAGAAGAAGCCCCGGCUAACUACGUGCCAGCAGCCGCGGUAAUACGUAGGGGGCGAGCGUUAUCCGGAUUCAUUGGGCGUAAAGCGCGCGUAGGCGGCCUGUUAGGUCGGGAGUUAAAUCCGGGGGCUCAACCCCCGCCCGCUCCCGAUACCGGCAGGCUUGAGUCUGGUAGGGGAAGGCGGAAUUCCCAGUGUAGCGGUGGAAUGCGCAGAUAUUGGGAAGAACACCGGUGGCGAAGGCGGCCUUCUGGGCCACGACUGACGCUGAGGCGCGAAAGCUAGGGGAGCGAACAGGAUUAGAUACCCUGGUAGUCCUAGCCGUAAACGAUGGACACUAGGUGUGGGGGGAUGUGCCCUCCGUGCCGCAGCUAACGCAUUAAGUGUCCCGCCUGGGGAGUAC